CAGCCGCCGCGGGAAAACGGAGGGAGCUAGCGUUGUUCGGAAUUACUGGGCGUAAAGGGCGCGUAGGCGGAUUGCGCAGUCAGAUGUGAAAUUCCUGGGCUUAACCUGGGGGCUGCAUUUGAGACGCGUAGUCUAGAGUGUGAAAGAGGGUCGUGGAAUUCCCAGUGUAGAGGUGAAAUUCGUAGAUAUUCGGAGGAACACCAGUGGCGAAGGCGGCUCACUGGUCCAUUACUGACGCUGAGGUGCGAAAGCGUGGGGAGCAAACAGGAUUAGAUACCCCGGUAGUCCCUGUCUCUUAUAA
This 301-nucleotide ribosomal RNA is filed under the name uncultured bacterium. RNAcentral describes it as "partial 16S ribosomal RNA". It matches the Rfam family "Bacterial small subunit ribosomal RNA", at positions 509 to 809 of the family's 1533-position model. The record is from RNAcentral.